RNAcentral lists this ribosomal RNA (1484 nucleotides) under human metagenome. Its description in RNAcentral is "bacterial LSU rRNA". It matches the Rfam family "Bacterial large subunit ribosomal RNA", at positions 694 to 2226 of the family's 2925-position model. The record is from RNAcentral.
UAAUAGUUGGUAGUAGUAGACGCGAAACCUGGUGAUCUACCCUUGGGCAGGUUGAAGCGCUGGUAACACAGCGUGGAGGACCGAACUGGUUGUCGUUGAAAAGACUUCGGAUGACCUGAGGGUAGGGGUGAAAGGCCAAUCAAACUGGGAAAUAGCUCGUACUCCCCGAAAUGCAUUUAGGUGCAGCGUUGAUGCGAGUUUAAUAGAGGUAGAGCUACUGAUUGGAUGCGGGGGUUUCAUCGCCUACCAAUUCCUGACAAACUCCGAAUGCUAUUAAAUGCUCAUCAGCAGUGAGGGUAUGGGUGCUAAGGUCCAUAUCCGAGAGGGAAAGAACCCGGACCAUCAGCUAAGGUCCCCAAAUAUAUGCUAAGUUGACCAAACGCGGUCUGACUGCACUGACAGCUAGGAUGUUGGCUUGGAAGCAGCCAUACAUUUAAAGAGUGCGUAACAGCUCACUAGUCGAGCGGUUGGGCAUGGAUAAUAAACGGGCAUAAGCAUAUUACCGAAGCUAUGGGGUUAUACAUUUGUAUAUACCGGUAGGGGAGCAUUCUAUUGGCGUUGAAGCUAAAGGCGUGAGCCAUAGUGGAGCCUAAUAGAAAAGAAAAUGUAGGCAUAAGUAACGAUAAGGCAGGCGAGAAACCUGCCCGCCGAAAGAUCAAGGUUUCCUCAGCUAUGCUAAUCAGCUGAGGGUUAGUCGGGGACUAACGCGAACCCGAGUAGGGGUAGUGGAUGUACAAUAGGUUAAUAUUCCUAUACCAUUAGUCUGUUAAAAGUGACGGAAUGAGAUAACUACCGCGUACUGACGGAAUAGUACGUUUAAGGAGUUGUUAUGACUUCGAAAGUACGCUGAGGCUUCGGCCGAGGUGAGUGUGGUGACAACGUUUCCAAGAAAAGCGAAGACUAAUGCCCGUACCGUAAACCGACACAGGUGAUUGGGAUGAGAAUUCUAAGGCGCUCGAGAGAUUCAUGGCUAAGGAACUAGGCAAAAUAGACCUGUAACUUAGGGAGAAAGGUCGCCUAUCUUGUGAUAGGCCGCAGUGAAAAGGUCCAAGCGACUGUUUAUCAAAAACACAGGACUCUGCAAAAUCGAAAGAUGAAGUAUAGGGUCUGACACCUGCCCGGUGCUGGAAGGUUAAGAGGAGAGCUUAGCAGCAAUGCGAAGGUUUGAAUUGAAGCCCCAGUAAACGGCGGCCGUAACUAUAACGGUCCUAAGGUAGCGAAAUUCCUUGUCGGGUAAGUUCCGACCUGCACGAAUGGUGUAACGAUUUGGACACUGUCUCGGCCAUGAGCUCGGUGAAAUUGUAGUAUCGGUGAAGAUGCCGAUUACCCGCAGUGGGACGAAAAGACCCUGUGCACCUUUACUAUAUCUUCGUAUUGGUCUUGGAUAAGUGAUGCGUAGGAUAGGUGGGAGACUGUGAAGCGGCUAUUCCGGUAGUUGUGGAGUCAUUGUUGAAAUACCACCCUUUGCUUAUCUGAGGUCUAAC